CAGUAGCCGCGGUAAUACGAAGGGGGCUAGCGUUGCUCGGAAUCACUGGGCGUAAAGGGUGCGUAGGCGGGUCUUUAAGUCAGGGGUGAAAUCCUGGAGCUCAACUCCAGAACUGCCUUUGAUACUGAAGAUCUUGAGUUCGGGAGAGGUGAGUGGAACUGCGAGUGUAGAGGUGAAAUUCGUAGAUAUUCGCAAGAACACCAGUGGCGAAGGCGGCUCACUGGCCCGAUACUGACGCUGAGGCACGAAAGCGUGGGGAGCAAACAGGAUUAGAUACCCCAGUAGUCCCUGUCUCUUAUAC
RNAcentral lists this ribosomal RNA (301 nucleotides) under uncultured bacterium. Its description in RNAcentral is "partial 16S ribosomal RNA". It matches the Rfam family "Bacterial small subunit ribosomal RNA", at positions 509 to 807 of the family's 1533-position model. The record is from RNAcentral.